This 1492-nucleotide ribosomal RNA is filed under the name uncultured bacterium. RNAcentral's name for it is "bacterial SSU rRNA". It matches the Rfam family "Bacterial small subunit ribosomal RNA". The record is from RNAcentral.
AGAGUUUGAUCAUGGCUCAGGAUGAACGCUGGCGGCGUGCCUAACACAUGCAAGUCGAGCGGACCGUUGCUCAUUUCAGCUUUGCUGAUUUGAGCAACGGUUAGCGGCGGACGGGUGAGUAACGCGUGGGCAACCUGCCCUGUGCAGGGGGAUAACACAGCGAAAGCUGUGCUAAUACCCCAUAAGACUACGCUAUCGCAUGAUAGAGUAGUCAAAGCUUUAGCGGCACAGGAUGGGCCCGCGUCUGAUUAGCUAGUUGGUGGGGUAACGGCCUACCAAGGCGACGAUCAGUAGCCGACCUGAGAGGGUGAUCGGCACACUGGAACUGAGACACGGUCCAGACUCCUACCGGAGGCAGCAGUGGGGAAUAUUGCACAAUGGGGGAAACCCUGAUGCAGCAACGCCGCGUGAGCGAAGAAAGGCUUCCGGUCGUAAAGCUCUGUCCUAUAGGAAGAAAUAUGACCGUACCUUAUGAGGAAGCCCCCGCUAACUACGUGGCAGCAGCCGCGGUAAUACGUAGGGGGCGAGCGUUAUUCUGAAUCACCUGGGCGUAAAGGGUGCGUAAGCCGCGAGUAAGCCCGAAGUGAAAAGCUACGGCUUAACCGUAGUAAGCCUUUGGAACUACUUGGCUUGAGUGCAGGAGAGGAGAGUGGAAUUCUUAGUGUAGCCGUGAAAAUGCGUAGAUAUUAGGAGGAACAUCAGUGGCGAAAGCGGACUUCUCUGGACUGUAACUGAUAGCUGAAGAACAAAACCUGGGGGAGAAACAGGAAUAAAUACCUCGGUAGUCCACGCCGUAAACAAUGAAUGCUAGGUGUCGGGGGUUCACACCCUCGGUGCCGGAGUUAACGCAAUAAGCACUCCGCCUGGGGAGUACGGUCGCAAGACUGAAACUCAAAGGAAUUGACGGGGACCCGCACAAGCAGCGGAGCAUGUGGUUUAAUUCGAAGCAACGCGAAGAACCUUACCAGGACUUGACAUCCCUUUGACAGCACCUUAACCGGAGCCUUCCCUUCGGGGACAAAGGAGACAGGUGGUGCAUGGUUGUCGUCAGCUCGUGUCGUGAGAUGUUGGGUUAAGUCCCGCAACGAGCGCAACCCUUGCCUUUAGUUGCCAUCAGUAAGGCUGGGCACUCUAGAGGGACUGCCGGUGACAAACCGGAGGAAGGUGGGGAUGACGUCAAAUCAUCAUGCCCCUUAUGUUCUGGGCUACACACGUGCUACAAUGGCUGGUACAACGGGCAGCGAAGGAGUAAUCCGGAGCGAAUCCUACAAAGCCAGUCCUAGUUCGGAUUGUGGGCUGCAACUCGCCCACAUGAAGCCGGAGUUGCUAGUAAUCGUGAAUCAGAAUGUCGCGGUGAAUGCGUUCCCGGGUCUUGUACACACCGCCCGUCACACCAUGGGAGCUCAGGGCACCCGAAGUCAGCACUAGGCGCAAGCUGAAGCUGCCGAAGGUGAAAUGAGUGACUGGGGUGAAGUCGUAACAAGGUAGCCGU